GAACGCACAUUGCGCCCCUUGGUAUUCCAUGGGGCAUGCUUGUUCGAGCGUCAUUUGUACCCUCAAGCUUUGCUUGGUGUUGGGUGUUUGUCCUUUCCCUGCGUCAGGACUCGCCUUAAAUUCAUUGGCAGCCGAUGUAUUGGUUUGAAGCGCAGCACAAUUUGCGAUUCAGGCUGGUGAUCAUGGGCAUCCAGUAAGCACAUUUUUAACACUUUUGACCUCGGAUCAAGUAGGGAUACCCGCUGAACUUAAG
This 253-nucleotide unclassified non-coding RNA is filed under the name uncultured Pleosporales. RNAcentral describes it as "sequence contains 5.8S rRNA gene". The stretch from base 1 to 53 matches the Rfam family "5.8S ribosomal RNA", at positions 102 to 154 of the family's 154-position model. The record is from RNAcentral. Lineage: Eukaryota; Fungi; Ascomycota; Dothideomycetes; Pleosporales.